GUGAAAGGCUCUACAGCCUGUAUUGGCAGUGAGGUUUCCUACUACCUGCUAAAAUCACUGAGAGCUGGAUUAAGUGGUGGAACCUCAGAACAUGUCACAGCAGAGAGACACUGGUAGCAGAGCAAUGGAGGCAACAGUAGCAGAGUGAAAAACAUCAAUUGUGACUCAGCUGCAGCAACUGAGGCAUUGUUUGAUGCCUUACCCUCUUCGCCCAGGAUGGGAGGUGAACUCAUGAGAACAUAUCUCUGAACUCUGGGUCCUCAUUGACCAAGGACAGCAACUGAGGAGUAAGCAGAGUCGACGGGGGAGCCACGGCACUCGACUUGCCGCCGUGAGGAUGGCCAUCAGCUGCAGAUGUGGCCUGGAGGAUCUCAUCCGGAACACUGGUGGAGCAGCUCACCCAAAUAAGGAGGACAAAGAAGAGGAAUAAAGAAGACAUGUUCCUGGAGAUGCUGCAAGCCUCUGGCGCAUCAGAUUGCGAGCAGAGAGCUUGGAGGGUAGCAAUCAAUGACAAAAUGCAGAGGGAUAGCGAGGACAGGAAAAACAGGCAGCAGGAGAUAAUGCUGCUCAGGAAGCAAACAGACAUGCUGCAGUCUCUGAUUCAACUUCAGGCUGAACACAUCCAUGCUUCCCUCCCCUAACAGCCUACUGCAUUCUAGGACCUCCCUACACUCCACCCCACCACACACACACAUACACGUUCCUUGUAUCUUCCAGGGCUGCAGCAGUACCCCAGCCACUUCACCACCUGGGAGAUUAAAUAUAUUGACAGCCCCACAUACACCCAGAUGUGAGAGCCUUGUUGUUUGUGCUUGUGAAUUCCCUGUUU
This is a long non-coding RNA of Mauremys reevesii (Reeves's turtle), 829 nucleotides long. RefSeq lists it as uncharacterized. The transcript has 3 exons. The record is from RefSeq and is a predicted model, not a curated record. NCBI's taxonomy places the organism in Eukaryota, Metazoa, Chordata, Testudines, Geoemydidae.